Molecule: ribosomal RNA, 468 nt
Filed under: uncultured bacterium
Lineage: Bacteria
Description: partial 16S ribosomal RNA
Rfam family: Bacterial small subunit ribosomal RNA
Source: RNAcentral
GACGAACGCUGGCGGCGUGCUUAACACAUGCAAGUCGAACGGAAAGGCCCUGCUUUUGUGGGGUGCUCGAGUGGCGAAAGGGUGAGUAACACGUGAGUAACCUGCCCUUGACUUUGGGAUAACUUCAGGAAACUGGGGCUAAUAACGGAUAGGAGCUCCUGCUGCAUGGUGGGGGUUGGAAAGUUUCGGCGGUUGGGGAUGGACUCGCGGCUUAUCAGCUUGUUGGUGGGGUAGUGGCUUACCAAGGCUUUGACGGGUAGCCGGCCUGAGAGGGUGACCGGCCACAUUGGGACUGAGAUACGGCCCAGACUCCUACGGGAGGCAGCAGUGGGGAAUAUUGCACAAUGGGCGGAAGCCUGAUGCAGCAACGCCGCGUGCGGGAUGACGGCCUUCAGGUUGUAAACCGCUUUCGCCUGUGACGAAGCGUGAGUGACGGUAAUGGGUAAAGAAGCACCGGCUAACUACGUG